UUAGCUCAUAUUUGUAUGGAAUGGGAUCGUUUGCUUAUGUUUGCCACUAGAGGCGCUGUUUCAAUUGCAUACAAAAUUGCCUUA
Molecule: non-coding RNA, 84 nt
Organism: Bombyx mori (domestic silkworm)
Lineage: Eukaryota; Metazoa; Arthropoda; Insecta; Lepidoptera; Bombycidae
Source: Rfam